AAGCGAUAAGUGGAGCGGUGAAAGGCUCAGUAACGGGCGAUUUAUUUGAUCUCCUGGGACGGACAACAUCGGGAAACUGAUGGGAAAACGUCUAAGUUGCAGUUUAUUGAUUGUGACGUAAACCUUUGUGUGCAGGAGAGUAAGAUGCCAUCCUAUCAGUUAGUAAGUAGGGUAAGGGCCUACUUAGACGAAGACGGGUACGGGGAAUGAGGGUUUGAUUCCGGAGAAGGAGCCUGAGAGAUGGCUACCAGGACCAAGGUCAGCAGCAGGCGCGAAAAUUAUCGAAGCCCGCCUAGGGGCGAUAGUGAGGAGACGUGUAUACGAAGUACGUGUAAAGACCGUACUAAUAACUGGAGGUCAAGUCUGGUGCCAGCAGCCGCG
RNAcentral lists this ribosomal RNA (381 nucleotides) under Dictyocoela roeselum. Its description in RNAcentral is "SSU rRNA". It matches the Rfam family "Microsporidia small subunit ribosomal RNA", at positions 63 to 404 of the family's 1311-position model. The record is from RNAcentral. Lineage: Eukaryota; Fungi; Microsporidia.